CCAAGGGAGCUCAGGUGCAAGCAGUUCACCUGAGUGACUGGAAGGCACGGAGCCAGGAUCCAUCCCUACCCAGACUGCAUUUAAAAGCUGGCAAUAGAAGGGAGGAUAUCUCUUGCUGGAGAUCCCUGUAUGCUUGAGGCCUUCCAAGGUGAUUUCAGGACCAAGCAGAACUGAAGAUUCCAGCAGUAGAAAGACAAAAAUCCCCCCCCACCUCCUCCCGCAUCCUCAAAACUUGGGAGGUUGCUUAGUGACAGCGUUGCUGCUCUCUCACUCAUUCGGAGAACCUGAGCUCUUAAAAGCAAGAAAAUGGCUAUUUGAGGACCUGAUAGCUCGUGUUCCUCGAUGGCCCCUUCAGCCCACAUCAGCAGCAGGCAAUGAAUGAAGCAGCCUGGCCACUCCUCUCCUUUCUGCUGGCCAACUCCAUUUAUUUUUUUACUAUUAUUCUGCUGUUGUUAGGAUUGCUAUUCUGUGAUCCCAUUUAAAAUCAUUGAUUUACCACCGAGUCCUCAAUAAGCAAUUUGGAGCAAUUGGAGCUGU
Molecule: non-coding RNA, 537 nt
Organism: Coturnix japonica (Japanese quail)
Lineage: Eukaryota; Metazoa; Chordata; Aves; Galliformes; Phasianidae
Source: RefSeq, a predicted model, not a curated record